Molecule: ribosomal RNA, 490 nt
Filed under: uncultured bacterium
Lineage: Bacteria
Description: partial 16S ribosomal RNA
Rfam family: Bacterial small subunit ribosomal RNA
Source: RNAcentral
AUUGAACGCUGGCGGCAGGCCUAACACAUGCAAGUCGAACGGUAACAGGAAACAGCUUGCUGUUUCGCUGACGAGUGGCGGACGGGUGAGUAAUGUCUGGGAAACUGCCUGAUUGAGGGGGAUAACUACUGGAAACGGUAGCUAAUACCGCAUAACGUCGCAAGACCAAAGAGGGGGACCCUCGGGCCUCUUGCCAUCGGAUGUGCCCAGAUGGGAUUAGCUUGUUGGUGGGGUAACGGCUCACCAAGGCGACGAUCCCUAGCUGGUCUGAGAGGAUGACCAGCCACACUGGAACUGAGACACGGUCCAGACUCCUACGGGAGGCAGCAGUGGGGAAUAUUGCACAAUGGGCGCAAGCCUGAUGCAGCCAUGCCGCGUGUAUGAAGAAGGCCUUCGGGUUGUAAAGUACUUUCAGCGGGGAGGAAGGGAGUAAAGUUAAUACCUUUGCUCAUUGACGUUACCCGCAGAAGAAGCACCGGCUAACUCCGUG